RNAcentral lists this ribosomal RNA (463 nucleotides) under uncultured bacterium. RNAcentral describes it as "partial 16S ribosomal RNA". It matches the Rfam family "Bacterial small subunit ribosomal RNA", at positions 28 to 507 of the family's 1533-position model. The record is from RNAcentral.
GACGAACGCUGGCGGCGUGCUUAACACAUGCAAGUCGAACGGAAAGGCCUUUUCGGAGGUACUCGAGUGGCGAACGGGUGAGUAACACGUGGGUGAUCUGCCCUGCACUCUGGGAUAGGCCUGGGAAACUGGGUCUAAUACCGGAUAGGACCGCACUUUAGUGUGUGUGGUGGAAAGUUUUUUCGGUGUAGGAUGAGCCCGCGGCCUAUCAGCUUGUUGGUGGGGUAAUGGCCUACCAAGGCGGCGACGGGUAGCCGGACUGGGAGGUUGGUCGGCCACAGUGGGACCUAGGUACGGCCCCGGCUCCUACGGGGGGCAGAAGGGCGGAAUAUUGCACAAUGGGCGCAAGCCUGAUGCAGCGACGCCGCGUGGGGGAUGACGGCCUUCGGGUUGUAAACUCCUUUCGCCAGGGACGAAGCGUUUUGUGACGGUACCUGGAGAAGAAGCACCGGCUAACUACGUG